UCGCUUUGGUGAUGGCAGAACUGACUUACCCGCAAGCUUAAUCGCAGCAAUAAGUGUCGCAUAUAAUAAUAGAAUAAGUCCAAAGCGCAGCCCGUCAUUACACACAACGCUUGUCCUUCCCAUUGUUGUGCGUUAUCCCCCAGCCGCCAUCGAAUCCCACGCAAUGUUCAAUAACAAACGGGCGGCGAAAUCGGCAGUAAUGAUAUGUAAUGAAGUGCAGCGAUCGUAGCGAUUGAUGACAGGUGGCAUCGCAAUGUAGGUCGCCCGGUGCCGCCCAUUUGGCAGUUUGAAAAUUCAGCAUAAAAAUGCGAUACCUUUGCACAGAGAUUUCAGUCUGUAAGCAGAAAUAAAUUGAGAGCAUUAAUAAAAUAACCAACUAAACAGAAUUAUUAAAGCGAACAAGAACAAAUCGGUUUCAAGUUCAAAUAGUUUUUUGCGCACACUUUUCGGUGAUACAAAACAACAGUGGCAAAAUGAGUCACUUGUGCUUCCUUGUUAUGGUUUUGAGUUUCGCACUCAUCGCGUUCUGUUCUGGACAAGGUAUCACAGAAAAUCCCUAUAACCGAAAUUGUCACAGAGACAUAUAUUGCCUAUUGGCUUAUUCUAAAUAAACAAACCGUACAGCCCUCAGCUAAGCGGACAGUGGAAAACAGCAUGGAGGCGUUGCACUCCCUAACUCAACUUAUAUUUAGCAUUCUGGAUGGUUUUAACAUGGGCUAGUUUUAGCACGAUAAAGUUGACAAUUCAAAACAUUUUGAACAUGUACUGCAUUCUGAAGUAAUCGUGAUUGAUGGAAGUUAUGAAUCUUAUACAUUUCCCAAUGUCGAAUCUAAUUUUCUUAGUUGUACAUAUUUUUUUUGGUUUUUUUUUCUUAGUUAAAACUCACUAAUUUGAUGUAAUAUGUUACAAUA
Drosophila teissieri is the source of this 911-nucleotide long non-coding RNA. RefSeq lists it as uncharacterized. NCBI's taxonomy places the organism in Eukaryota, Metazoa, Arthropoda, Insecta, Diptera, Drosophilidae. The transcript is spliced from 3 exons. The record is from RefSeq and is a predicted model, not a curated record.